AGGAAGGGGAAUGUGAGGAGUGAGGAGAGGGUCAGGACCGCGAGACCGGUCAGGAGGCCGUAGAUCGGCAACCACAGACACAACCCCGGUAUCGAGAUGGUGAAGAGA
This 108-nucleotide unclassified non-coding RNA is filed under the name Rhodotorula toruloides. The record is from RNAcentral. Lineage: Eukaryota; Fungi; Basidiomycota; Microbotryomycetes; Sporidiobolales; Sporidiobolaceae.